AUUGGCAUUUAGGCUGCCCUCACGGAUUUUCUCUGAUCUCAGAAACUAAGCAGGGUUGGGCCUGGUUAGCAUAUAGUUGGAAGACCAUCUGGAAAUACCAGACAAUGCAGACA
RNAcentral lists this ribosomal RNA (113 nucleotides) under Salvator merianae (Argentine black and white tegu). Lineage: Eukaryota; Metazoa; Chordata; Lepidosauria; Squamata; Teiidae. The record is from RNAcentral.